AGUCGUAACAAGGUUUCCGUAGGUGAACCUGCGGAAGGAUCAUUAACACGUAUCCAAACGUUAAACCCCCCUGUGCAUCUUAAUCCUGCUCGCUUUCGCCUUGACAAAGCAAUCUCUGGUAAAUCAUCGCCCAAACAGUGUUGAUUCAGAGACCUCUUUCGAAACACGAAUCCAUGGAGCGGCAGAUCAAUAGGCUUGGCUUCCAACGGAGGGAGGAUAACUUGGUAACACCCAAGGUCGUUGGCUUACACGGUCAACGGACAAGUCUCUGGGCGUAAAGCCCCAGCUAACAAAACCCAGUAGGUGAAAGUAGUCCCGCGUAAAGUAGGGACACAAAAACGAACAACUGUUAACAAUGGAUAUCUUGGUUCUCGCAACGAUGAAGAACGCAGCGAAAUGCGAUACGUAAUGCGAAUUGCAGAAUUCAGUGAAUCAUCGAAUCUUUGAACGCAAAUUGCGCUCCCGGGUUACCCCCGAGAGCACACCUCUCUGAGUGUCGGUUUAACCAAAUGUCACCAAUUUAUUGGUGUACGACAGACUGAGGGUAAGGAGUCUCGGCUUCUUUCCCUUUAAAACUCAGCCGCACGACUGUGUGUGUUCGUGGCAAGUUGCUUUCACUUAACUGUGAAUCCAAUCCAUGAACCCUAUGUUAUUGCAGCCAAAAGAAACAAAUGAACGGAGUUGUGAACUGGNGAGCAAGUGAGGUAGUGAUCAAGUUUCGGCUUGGUNGUCGCUGAUCAUGUUUUCGAGGGAACGUCUCUGGACAUCUAUGAAUUAGACCUCAGAUGAAGUGGGAAGACCCCCUGAAUUUAAGCAUAUUAUUAAGGGGAGGGAAAGAAACUAACAAGGAUUCCCCUAGUAACGGCGAGUGAAGCGGGAAGAGCUCAAAUUUAAAAUCCGCUAGUCUAACAGCCAGCGGAGUUGUAAUCUAGAGAGACUCUCUCAGUGCCAGCCUGGUUAUAAGUCCCUUGAAACGGGGCAUCAUAGAGGGUGAGAAUCCCGUCUUUGAGCCGGAGCUAAGUACGUACGAGGAGUUUUCUAAGAGUCGCGUUGCUUGGGAGUGCAGCGCUAAAUGGGUGGUAAAGUUCAUCUAAAGCUAAAUACUGGCGAGAGACCGAUAGCGAACAAGUACCGUGAGGGAAAGAUGAAAAGAACUUUGAAAAGAGAGUUAAAAAGUACUUGAAAUUGUUAACAGGGAAGGGCAGGAAACCAGUCAUAUCUAGAUUCCAUUCGCUUUUCCUUCGGGAGGGGUUACUUGGAGUUAAGAUGGGUGAGUGGCAUGUGGGUAUCUUCGUAGAAAGCGUGUAGGUUGGUGCGUUUCUUCGGAUUCGUUUAACUUAUACGUCCUAUGCUGGUCCUGCAUGAGGAGUGAUAACCCGCCCUCGAAAGGGGACGGUACUUUGAGGCCUGUUUGCCCUAGCGCGUGAGAGAACAAAGUUCUGUCUGUGCGAAAGGUGAAUACUGCCUUGGAUGUGCCAGUUGCUGGGUUCGCGCCACACACGAAAUGGUUUUCUUCCACC
This 1520-nucleotide ribosomal RNA is filed under the name uncultured fungus. Its description in RNAcentral is "eukaryotic LSU rRNA". The stretch from base 777 to 1520 matches the Rfam family "Eukaryotic large subunit ribosomal RNA", at positions 1 to 649 of the family's 3401-position model. The record is from RNAcentral. Lineage: Eukaryota; Fungi.